This is a long non-coding RNA of Notolabrus celidotus (New Zealand spotty), 719 nucleotides long. RefSeq lists it as uncharacterized. The record is from RefSeq and is a predicted model, not a curated record. Lineage: Eukaryota; Metazoa; Chordata; Actinopteri; Labriformes; Labridae. The transcript has 4 exons.
UUUACCGGACAAGGUAGUCCCGACCGUAAGGCCUCCGACCACAGUGUGAGCCGCUUGUGAAGUUACUACCAAUGAGGAGGACAUGCUACAAGUUUUAACCUAACUCACUCCGUUUUCUGGAUUAACUUUGAAUGAAAAGUAGAAGCAAAUAUGCAUAUGAGGACCUGCAGAAAAUAACUUCUGAACCGGAUCAAUUACAAGCCAUACCCUUGGACGACAACUACAUCCUAACCACCAAGGGUUUCAACACCUGUUCACUAUUUCAACUGAUGAGACUUACUACAAAGUUUGGACUUGAUCACUACGGCUGCUUGAUUGGAGGAGGAGGAUGACUGUCCUGCAGCAGCAACCACAGAUGAAGCUCUCUGGGCUCUGAUUUGGUCUUCUGCGGGCCGUGGCGACCAGCAGAGCAGAGAAAUUGCCUGUUAUCUAGGGGGUCGAUUCUUCAUGGGGUCCCGUAAAUUGCUUUGUAUUGACACCCUGUCAAGUGUUGGGAUCCUCAUGUUAACCCCAAGAUCUGCCCUGGAGUGAGGAAAAUGUCUCUCCAGAGACCAACAGCAUGCUGCCACUCUUCCUGAGGUGUCAGAAUGAUGUUUCCUCCAAACAAAGUGAUGACAUCCUGUCUGUGAUUUAGACCGCCUGCAUAGAUUCACACUGGAUGUAGUGGACAGGUUUGGCCUCAUAAAUCAAAUAAAAAGCUCAGGUGGACUUGGGAAUAA